UAAGGAAUAUUGGUCAAUGGAGGCAACUCUGAACCAGCCAUGCCGCGUGCAGGAAGACAGCCCUCUGGGUCGUAAACUGCUUUUAUCUGGGAAUAAACCUACUUACGUGUAAGUAGCUGAAUGUACCAGAAGAAUAAGGAUCGGCUAACUCCGUGCCAGCAGCCGCGGUAAUACGGAGGAUCCAAGCGUUAUCCGGAUCUAUUGGGUUUAAAGGGUGCGUAGGCGGCCUGUUAAGUCAGGGGUGAAAGACGGUAGCUCAACUAUCGCAGUGCCCUUGAUACUGACAGGCUUGAAUGAACUAGAGGUAGGCGGAAUGUGACAAGUAGCGGUGAAAUGCAUAGAUAUGUCACAGAACACCGAUUGCGAAGGCAGCUUACUAUGGUUUUAUUGACGCUGAGGCACGAAAGCGUGGGGAUCAAACAGG
RNAcentral lists this ribosomal RNA (424 nucleotides) under bacterium. Its description in RNAcentral is "partial 16S ribosomal RNA". It matches the Rfam family "Bacterial small subunit ribosomal RNA", at positions 355 to 776 of the family's 1533-position model. The record is from RNAcentral.